This 394-nucleotide ribosomal RNA is filed under the name uncultured bacterium. Its description in RNAcentral is "bacterial SSU rRNA". It matches the Rfam family "Bacterial small subunit ribosomal RNA", at positions 971 to 1425 of the family's 1533-position model. The record is from RNAcentral.
UUACUGGCUUGACAUCUAUGAAAGCUAGCAAUAAACAGGUGCUGCAUGGCUGUCGUCAGCUCGUGUCGUGAGAUGUUGGGUUAAGUCCCGCAACGAGCGCAACCCUGUGCCUGUUGCCAGCGUACGGGACUCUGGCAGANUGCCUAGUUCAAUAGGAGGAAGGUGGGGAUGACGUCAAGUCCGUAUGGCNCUUACGCCGGGCUGCACACGUACUACAAUGCGGUACAUUUGCCACCGCGAGGGGAGGAAUCUAUAACCGGCUCAGUUCAGAUUGGAGGCUGCAAUUCGCCUCCAUGAAGCUGGAAUCGCUAGUAACGGCGAUCAGCACGCGCCGUGAAUACGUUCCCGGGUCUNGUACACACCGCCCGUCACAUCAUGGAAGCUGGCUGCUGAA